AUUGAACGCUGGCGGCAUGCCUUGCACAUGCAAGUCGAACGGCAGCACGGGUGCUUGCCCCUGGUGGCGAGUGGCGAACGGGUGAGUAAUACAUCGGAACAUGUCCUGUAGUGGGGGAUAGCCCGGCGAAAGCCGGAUUAAUACCGCAUACGAUCUACGGAUGACAGCGGGGGACCUUCGGGCCUCGCGCUAUCGGGUUGGCCGAUGGCUGAUUAGCUAGUUGGUGGGGUAAAGGCCUACCAAGGCGACGAUCAGUAGCUGGUCUGAGAGGACGACCAGCCACACUGGGACUGAGACACGGCCCAGACUCCUACGGGAGGCAGCAGUGGGGAAUUUUGGACAAUGGGCGAAAGCCUGAUCCAGCAAUGCCGCGUGUGUGAAGAAGGCCUUCGGGUUGUAAAGCACUUUUGUCCGGAAAGAAAUCCUUGGCCCUAAUACGGUCGGGGGAUGACGGUACCGGAAGAAUAAGCACCGGCUAACUACGUG
Molecule: ribosomal RNA, 486 nt
Filed under: uncultured bacterium
Lineage: Bacteria
Description: partial 16S ribosomal RNA
Rfam family: Bacterial small subunit ribosomal RNA
Source: RNAcentral